GGUUUUUCUUGCAAGUUGCCAUCUUGAAUGACGUCAUUAUCGUUAUUAACUUAAUGUCUCGAAUCGAUAUAUCGCGAUUAUAACUAGAACUAGUACUAGUAUAACUAGUAUCGUUUAUCUUCGGUUUCGUUCGCAUAUGGAGCAGAUCGUAUAAUAUCGAAAGCAAUAUCGAUAUCACAUUCGUGAUUGUUGACGUUCGUUUGUAAAUAUUUUAUAGUUUGGCUGCCAUUUUGACCAUUUUUAUCGUGUUCAACCCAAUUAAACAUCGGUCUUCCACCGGGAGAUGGCGCUGGACCCCUUUUAGACGCUGGAGGACGUUGGAUCCCUUGGAUCAUCGUAUUUGAAGCUGAACUCACACGGAAUAGACAGGAACUAAGGACAUCACUCCAGAAAACUACUG
This is a long non-coding RNA of Lytechinus pictus (painted urchin), 400 nucleotides long. RefSeq lists it as uncharacterized. The transcript has 2 exons. NCBI's taxonomy places the organism in Eukaryota, Metazoa, Echinodermata, Echinoidea, Temnopleuroida, Toxopneustidae. The record is from RefSeq and is a predicted model, not a curated record.